This 477-nucleotide ribosomal RNA is filed under the name uncultured bacterium. RNAcentral's name for it is "partial 16S ribosomal RNA". It matches the Rfam family "Bacterial small subunit ribosomal RNA", at positions 30 to 507 of the family's 1533-position model. The record is from RNAcentral.
AUUGAACGCUGGCGGCAUGCCUUACACAUGCAAGUCGAACGGUAACAGGUUAAGCUGACGAGUGGCGACCGGGUGAGUAAUGUAUCGGAACGUGCCCAGUCGUGGGGUAUAACUGCUCGAAAGAGCAGCUAAUACCGCAUACGACCUGAGGGUGAACGCGGUGGAUCGCAAGACCUCGCGCGAUUGGACCGGCCGAUAUCAGAUUAGGUAGUUUGUGAGGUAAAGGCUCACCAAGCCGACGAUCUGUAGCUGGUCUGAGAGGACGACCAGCCACACUGGGACUGAGACACGGCCCAGACUCCUACGGGAGGCAGCAGUGGGGAAUGUUGGACAAUGGGCGCAAGCCUGAUCCAGCCAUGCCGCGUGCGGGAAGAAGGCCUUCGGGUUGUAAACCGCUUUUGUCAGGGAAGAAAAGGUUCUGGCUAAUACCUGGGACUCAUGACGGUACCUGAAGAAUAAGCACCGGCUAACUACGUG